UACGUAGGGGGCAAGCGUUGUCCGGAAUCAUUGGGCGUAAAGCGCGUGUAGGCGGCCCGGUAAGUCCGCUGUGAAAGUCGGGGGCUCAACCCUCGAAUGCCGGUGGAUACUGUCGGGCUAGAGUGCGGGAGAGGCGAGUGGAAUUCCUGGUGUAGCGGUGAAAUGCGCAGAUAUCAGGAGGAACACCAAUUGCGAAGGCAGCUCGCUGGGACGUAACUGACGCUGAGACGCGAAAGCGUGGGGAGCAAACAGG
RNAcentral lists this ribosomal RNA (253 nucleotides) under uncultured bacterium. RNAcentral's name for it is "partial 16S ribosomal RNA". It matches the Rfam family "Bacterial small subunit ribosomal RNA", at positions 524 to 776 of the family's 1533-position model. The record is from RNAcentral.